RNAcentral lists this long non-coding RNA (649 nucleotides) under Helianthus annuus (common sunflower). RNAcentral describes it as "sRNA HanXRQr2_Chr12g0524371". The record is from RNAcentral. Lineage: Eukaryota; Viridiplantae; Streptophyta; Magnoliopsida; Asterales; Asteraceae.
UUUAUUUCUUACUUCCUAUAGUUGGCUAGAAUAAAAAAAAAAAUAGUAAAGCCCAUAACCUACAACCUAUAGUAGCUUUUGAAUAUCUCUGGUUAGAAGGAAAUACACCCCAUCUUCCUCAUCAUACAUUCCUUGAAUUCUGGGAUUUGACAAUUUUACUCAAUCACAAAAAUUUCAUCUAUAAAACCAACCUAAAUUCAUAAUAUAUAUGCAUACACAAUCAAAACUUUUUGUUUAUCCCAAACAUACUCCCUUUGAAUCACCACCGUGACCCACUGUGAGGACCGCCGCCAUAUCGACGUCGCCGUCCGUUCGCACCUCCACCGCUGCCGCCUCUAUGUAAGCUAGCGACUGCCGCGGUUACCACCUCGUUCCACUCUUUGAGGUUUGCAUAUUUUGAGGACGACUUGAUUUGUGGAUUUUUACGUUGUUUGCUAAGCUAAGUAUGGAAUUGUAAUCAGGGAUAAUAUGGGGAAUCAGUAAUGAGAGACUAAUGGAUGUUCAAGAGUAUUUUAAGACUCUUUAUUUUGUUAAAUCAUGUACUUUUAAAUGAACUUAAGACUUAAGGUAUUUUGAGACAUGUAUGUCACCUUGAAUCCUAUCUUUUAUUAAGUGGAUGUGUUUUGGUUAUGAUAUUCGUAAUAGUGAU